Molecule: non-coding RNA, 71 nt
Organism: Gossypium hirsutum (cotton)
Lineage: Eukaryota; Viridiplantae; Streptophyta; Magnoliopsida; Malvales; Malvaceae
Source: Rfam
GGUGAUAUGGCCGAGCGGUAAGGCGGGGGACUGCAAUCCCUUAUUCCCCAUUUCAAAUUCGGGUGUCGCCU